ACAAACUUGGUCAUUUAGAGGAAGUAAAAGUCGUAACAAGGUUUCCGUAGGUGAACCUGCGGAAGGAUCAUUAGUGAAAGCUUUGGGGAUACUGUUGCUGGUCUCUAACGAGGCAUGUGCACGUAUCUCUAAUCCAUUCAUCCACCUGUGCACCUUUUGUAGAAGUUCAUUCAGGAUUGGCUUGCAAGUGUCUAAUGGACCUUGUAUAGUUGGUUUCUGAAAGGGCUUUUAUGUUUUUACAAACUAGUUCAGUAUGUCUAGAAUGUUUGUUUCUAGGGACUUGAUUGACCCUUUUAAACUUGUACAACUUUCAGCAACGGAUCUCUUGGCUCUCCCAUCGAUGAAGAACGCAGC
This 354-nucleotide unclassified non-coding RNA is filed under the name uncultured fungus. Its description in RNAcentral is "partial contains small subunit ribosomal RNA, internal transcribed spacer 1, and 5.8S ribosomal RNA". The stretch from base 1 to 73 matches the Rfam family "Eukaryotic small subunit ribosomal RNA", at positions 1759 to 1831 of the family's 1831-position model. Lineage: Eukaryota; Fungi. The record is from RNAcentral.